This 678-nucleotide long non-coding RNA is filed under the name Cucumis sativus (cucumber). RNAcentral describes it as "long non-coding RNA (CSAT_LNC003172)". The record is from RNAcentral. Lineage: Eukaryota; Viridiplantae; Streptophyta; Magnoliopsida; Cucurbitales; Cucurbitaceae.
AACCUGUGAAGGAUUAACUUACUGAUUAUGGUUUUAUCAAAUGGACACAAAUAUAUCUAUAGUGAGGGGAGUGCAACUACGGGACUUUAGUGGAAUGACCCGUUAGUUAACGAAUGUUGAUUAACUCGGUUUAAAAGAGUUUAGCUAGUUAAUCUUGAAUCGUUGGAGCCCAUGAUCUAUAGGUCCAUUAGGUUCCUCUGCUAGCUCAUAUGGAUUAAACUUAGAACAGUGUGAUGAAAUAAGUCGAAUUGUUCGAAUAGGGAGAAGAAAGGAAAACCGACAUAUACAGUGAUAUAAUCGUCGGUCUUCUAAUUAGAAAUAGAGCUUUAUGUUUUACAUACUAUAAGUAUGAAUGCAGAUUCAUACUAAGAAGCUCGGAAUUGGUCAAAAAUAGUAAAAAGUCAAAAUGUUGACUUUUGACUUUGAAAAGUCAAACUUUGACCGGCCUUAUAUUCAAAUGUGAUUUGAAUUUUGGAAAAAUGAAUGCGGAUUCAUGCUCGGGAGGUUGGAAUUAGUCAAGACGGACAAAAUGGAAAAAAGUCAAAAUAUUGACUUUUGACUUAGAAAAGUCAAAGUUUGACUUUUGACUAGAAAAAUCUGAUGACCAUUUUACCCUUGGACUAAGUUAGUGGGAAAAUCCAACAUUUUGUUGGAUAAUCCCACUAACUCUUAGUGGGA